AGGGUGGCCCUGGGCCGGGGGCCAGGAGGAUGUGGUCGCAUCACCCUGCUGCAGGGUCCCAGCGGGCUGCCCAGAGAAAGAGCGGACAGAGUGGCCCUUUAUCCUCCUUCCUGCCGGCUGACAGUGGCUUAUCUCACUAGAACCCUUCCGGAGACCUGGGUCACUUUCUGGAAUGUUCCGAUCUCCAAGAGCCUGAAGAACUGGGUGUGCACACCGUCUGUGCACAGCCCUGCAAGGCCCUGAUCCAGACCCAGCUCCCGGGGACGGGCGGCGGCAGACAGGGGAGCCGGACUGCGUGGAGCCUCUUUCUGAAGACCCCCUUCCACAGGAGCGGGCAGCACCUCACGAUUCCACGGAAAAGGAUUUUCAGUCCCCUUAACCUAAAAAUGACCUUGUUUAAUAGUAACGUUUGCUAAGACGGGAGUCCUUGGUACUUUAAUGAGAAAUUUUACAUUUUCUUACUGGCCGGAUUGGCUCCUGGAAACCAGAACUGGUUUGUGGGGGUGCUUCUCGGCCCCCGGGUCGGUAUCCUGGGACCCCCGUGCAGACCGGUCCCGCAUCCUCUGGCGCACGCUGGGGUCUGACCGCUUUGGGAGAGUGUCCUUCUGCAGAGCCAUCGGCAACAGGAAGGGGGUGCCCCCGGCCCCAGAGCUUCCCCCCAGCCUCCUCACAUAAGGCCAGGUGGCAUCGGGGGUCCUCUGCCCGGUGAGGGACCCCAGGUCUGGCCGCCAGCGUGGUCUGGCUCUCCAUGGCAGGUGUCACCAGGAGACUACCGUUCCGGCGCCCAGGAAGUCCUGAGUGCGCUCCGGGCACACCCGGGCCAGGGUACAUGCAGCGGGAGCGCCCAGCAUGGUCUUCCCCGGAGCCCCGUCAGCGCUCACCCGCGCCACUGCCGGCCGGCGGCCUCUGCGUGCCUGGCUCUCCGCUCCAGCGCGUGAGCUCUGGUUCUGGUGGAGGCUCUGAGUUUUGUAAAAUUUUAUUAAAUAAAACAGCCCGGAUAAACCCA
Molecule: long non-coding RNA, 1006 nt
Organism: Suricata suricatta (meerkat)
Lineage: Eukaryota; Metazoa; Chordata; Mammalia; Carnivora; Herpestidae
Exons: 2
Source: RefSeq, a predicted model, not a curated record